GACGAACGCUGGCGGCGUGCUUAACACAUGCAAGUCGAACGGAAAGGCCCUGCUUUUGUGGGGUGCUCGAGUGGCGAACGGGUGAGUAACACGUGAGUAACCUGCCCUUGACUUUGGGAUAACUUCAGGAAACUGGGGCUAAUACCGGAUAGGAGCUCCUGCUGCAUGGUGGGGGUUGGAAAGUUUCGGCGGUUGGGGAUGGACUCGCGGCUUAUCAGCUUGUUGGUGGGGUAGUGGCUUACCAAGGCUUUGACGGGUAGCCGGCCUGAGAGGGUGACCGGCCACAUUGGGACUGAGAUACAGCCCAGACUCCUACGGGAGGCAGCAGUGGGGAAUAUUGCACAAUGGGCGGAAGCCUGAUGCAGCAACGCCGCGUGCGGGAUGACGGCCUUCGGGUUGUAAACCGCUUUCGCCUGUGACGAAGCGCGAGUGACGGUAAUGGGUAAAGAAGCACCGGCUAACUACGUG
Molecule: ribosomal RNA, 468 nt
Filed under: uncultured bacterium
Lineage: Bacteria
Description: partial 16S ribosomal RNA
Rfam family: Bacterial small subunit ribosomal RNA
Source: RNAcentral